RNAcentral lists this transfer RNA (59 nucleotides) under Caudoviricetes sp. RNAcentral's name for it is "tRNA-Lys". It matches the Rfam family "tRNA", at positions 8 to 63 of the family's 71-position model. From Rfam's summary of the family: Transfer RNA (tRNA) molecules are approximately 80 nucleotides in length. Their secondary structure includes four short double-helical elements and three loops (D, anti-codon, and T loops). Lineage: Duplodnaviria; Heunggongvirae; Uroviricota; Caudoviricetes. The record is from RNAcentral.
UAGCUCAGUCGGUAGAGCACUUGACUUUUAAUCAAGUUGUCCGGGGUUCGAUUCCCCGG